UGUUAAGUGAUACAUAGGAUUCAUCUAGA
Molecule: non-coding RNA, 29 nt
Filed under: Mus musculus (house mouse)
Lineage: Eukaryota; Metazoa; Chordata; Mammalia; Rodentia; Muridae
Source: RNAcentral